This is a long non-coding RNA of Nannospalax galili (Upper Galilee mountains blind mole rat), 1417 nucleotides long. RefSeq lists it as uncharacterized. The transcript has 4 exons. The record is from RefSeq and is a predicted model, not a curated record. NCBI's taxonomy places the organism in Eukaryota, Metazoa, Chordata, Mammalia, Rodentia, Spalacidae.
CCCUGCACUGGUCAUCACAACAAAAGCACACUAACAAUGCGUCCUGGUGACUUUCAGUUUCUAUUCCUGGAAAUCAGUCCGUUUGGGGGAAGUGUUUAGGGAGGUUUGGUUUCACUUUUCUGUUCCUGGAAAUCGGUGCUCUAAGGCAGUGGGGCUGUUGGGCUGCUGGGCUGCUCCCUCCUGUUGGCCGGACUCUGGGGAGGGCAGCACAGCAGCUGGAGAUAAGUUCCUCUCCUUACACUCCCUUCAGGGUGGAGGCUAGCCCUUUUCUUCUCUGCAGUGGCCACACAAGCACACUAGACUUGGAAUUGCAGGUGAAGACAGACCUGUGCAGCUCUGCGCUCGCUGUACCCGGGGCUGCCGGAAGCUCUUCAGCGGACCCAGCACCUUCUGCUUUUGCAGUGGAGACAGUGGGAGCUCAACUCUGCCACCAGAAAUCUCUUUUCUCUAAGGAGCUGGCUUGCGCUCAGUGGAUAGAUUUCCAGUGGCUGGAAGAUCCUGGGAGCCCCGGAAAUUGCCCAGGCCACAACCCGUGGUUACAGAACCUCACCAAGCAUUCUCUCUGCUCCCAAGCUCUCAUGCCCCAACCACUCCUGGCCACCAAAGACGUUUCACAUGUCCAUACUUUUGCCUUACCCAGAAGGUUGUGCAGUUGGAUUCUUGAAGUCUCUGCAGGAGCUGCCCCCUCGACCCCACCAAUAACAGGUCCAGCGGGACUGGACAGGUGGCGCCCAACGUGGGGCUCGAGGUACGGUGGGCUACCUGACGGAUCCGGCGGUUGGAGCUCCAGUAAAGAAUAGAAGAAGCAUAUCCCCUCGGUGGUGCCGCUCACGCUGACCGAGAAAAGCAGAAGAUCCUGUGAGACAAAGAAGAUGCGCUGCCCACUGGCAACACUCCUGCUCCUUGCUGUCGUGACCUCGCCAUCUACAGGGGGGACGGCUGGGACCUCCAUCCAUACUACUUGGAAUUAUACUUGGGAGGUCAUAGGUUACGCCAAUUCUCCCAUUUGGUCUACUUCUAAAGUGACAAAUACAAUCUGGUGGCCAGAGUUAUACCCAGACUUAUGCCAGUUGGCUUUGGGGGCCCCAGCAAACUGGGACCUAGAAGGACUAGAGGCAAAGCUUUUCGCUCAACCCCCUACGGAAGAAAGCCCAAAGGGACGCUUUGGCCUAGAUCCUUGGGGUGGGUGCGGUCGUGCAGAGAGAAGAGCACAGUUAUCCACUCUAGAAUUUUAUGUUUGCCCCAGCUACACCCACCGCCCCACUGAGAGUAAUCCCAAAUGUGGUGGCUUAGUGGACUUUUACUGCAAAAACUGGGGCUGUGAAACCACUGGAGAGGCAUAUUGGAAUCCCUCUUCCAGUUGGGAUUACAUCAUUGUUAAGUAUAAUUUUACUAAUAAAUACUAUGUUUCUGACCA